AAAAGACACUUAGAAAAGUAGGACUCGAACCUACGCAAAAGAGAUCAAAACUCUUCAUACUUCCCUUAUAUUAUUUCCUAGUAGAGUCAGCUAACUAAAGCUAUCGGGCCCAUACCCCGAAAAUGAUGGUUUAACCCCUUCCCCUACUA
This 149-nucleotide transfer RNA is filed under the name Fregata sp. 2815okinawa. Its description in RNAcentral is "tRNA-Met". The record is from RNAcentral. Lineage: Eukaryota; Metazoa; Chordata; Aves; Suliformes; Fregatidae.